This 520-nucleotide ribosomal RNA is filed under the name uncultured Glomus. RNAcentral's name for it is "SSU rRNA". It matches the Rfam family "Eukaryotic small subunit ribosomal RNA", at positions 569 to 1091 of the family's 1831-position model. The record is from RNAcentral. Lineage: Eukaryota; Fungi; Glomeromycota; Glomeromycetes; Glomerales; Glomeraceae.
AGCAGCCGCGGUAAUUCCAGCUCCAAUAGCGUAUAUUAAAGUUGUUGCAGUUAAAAAGCUCGUAGUUGAAUUUCGAGACCGGUUUACUGGUCGUGCUUUUGUACGUACUGGUAUUAUUGGUUUCUCCUUUCUGACGAAUCUUAAUGCCAUUAAUUUGGUGUUUUGGGGAAUCAGGACUGUUACUUUGAAAAAAUUAGAGUGUUUAAAGCAGGCUCACGCUUGAAUACAUUAGCAUGGAAUAACGGAAUAGGACGUUUGAUUCUAUUUUGUUGGUUUCUAGGGUCGACGUAAUGAUUAAUAGGGAUAGUUGGGGGCAUUAGUAUUCAAUUGUCAGAGGUGAAAUUCUUGGAUUUAUUGAAGACUAACUACUGCGAAAGCAUUUGCCAAGGAUGUUUCAUUAAUCAAGAACGAAGUUAGGGAUCGAAGACGAUCAGAUACCGUCGUAGUCUUAACCAUAAACUAUCGCCGACUAGGAAUCGGAUGAUGUUAAUUUUUAAUGUACUCUAUUCGGCGUCCUUAC